CCUAUCGGGAGGCAGCAGUGGGGAAUAUUGGACAAUGGGCGAAAGCCUGAUCCAGCCAUGCCGCGUGUGUGAAGAAGGUCUUCGGAUUGUAAAGCACUUUAAGUUGGGAGGAAGGGCUGUAAGUUAAUACCUUGCAGUUUUGACGUUACCGACAGAAUAAGCACCGGCUAACUUCGUGCCAGCAGCCGCGGUAAUAAU
RNAcentral lists this ribosomal RNA (198 nucleotides) under uncultured bacterium. RNAcentral describes it as "partial 16S ribosomal RNA". It matches the Rfam family "Bacterial small subunit ribosomal RNA", at positions 338 to 526 of the family's 1533-position model. The record is from RNAcentral.